Diospyros lotus (date-plum) is the source of this 733-nucleotide long non-coding RNA. RefSeq lists it as uncharacterized. The transcript is spliced from 4 exons. The record is from RefSeq and is a predicted model, not a curated record. NCBI's taxonomy places the organism in Eukaryota, Viridiplantae, Streptophyta, Magnoliopsida, Ericales, Ebenaceae.
UAGGGGUUUAAGCUCUCUCGCCGACUCACUGUUGGUGUGGGCCGUGUAGCCGUCGGGGAGAGUCGGAAAUCGCAAAUCUCUCUCUGAUAAAUCAAUUUCGUUUAGAACAUAUAGCGAGGAAAUGGCGUUCGAGAAGAUCAAGGUCGCCAACCCGAUCGUCGAGAUGGACGAGCAAAGUUGGAUGACAAUGCAAGACUACUGGAUUUCACUGAGAAACUAGAAGCUGCUUGUAUUGGAACUGUGGAGUCUGGGAAGAUGACAAGGAUCUUGCACUGAUUAUCCAUGGAUCUAAGCUUACAAGAUGCCAAUACCUUAACACUGAGGAGUUCAUCGAGGCAGUGGCAGAUGAGCUGAGAGCAAGACUUGGCUGCAAAGCAUAAUUUGUCCAAAUAGGAGAUAUUUUAAAUCUGCAAUUGGGUUUCCAGUGUUUUAAAACAUAUAUGAGAAGAAUGAAGUGGUGCAGGAGAAGACUCAGGACGUGUGUGUUUGAAUCAGAUAUUCUUAAUUUCAUAUGCUAUUUUGUUGGCAUUUUAUGAUCUGAAAUAGAAUUUCAAAGUAGCCUUUUUCUACUGUUUCGAUUUAGGAUUGAGGCAGUACCUCCGACAGUUAUUCUGGGGCUACGUCGUUGCAUGCUUUUCUGGAAUGCUUGAAAAUACUCGGGAGUCUUGGAUUAAAUCAUAGUACUCCUAUUUGAUUUUUCUUCGCUGCUAUACUUAAUUGAUUAUUUUUGGUA